Molecule: ribosomal RNA, 397 nt
Filed under: uncultured microorganism
Description: bacterial SSU rRNA
Rfam family: Archaeal small subunit ribosomal RNA
Source: RNAcentral
GUGCACCAGGCGAGAAACUUUACAAUGUGCGAAAGCACGAUAAGGGAACUCUGAGUGCCUCCUAAGGAGGCUGUUCAGGUGUCUAAAAGCACCUGGAGUAAGGGCUGGGUAAGACCGGUGCCAGCCGCCGCGGUAACACCGGCAGCCCAGGUGGUAGCCACUUUUAUUGGGUCUAAAGCGUCCGUAGCCGGUUGAGUAAGUUCCUUGGGAAAUUUGGCUGCUCAACAGUCAAGCUUCCAGGGAAUACUGCUCGACUUGGGACUGGGAGAGGUCAGAGGUACUCCAGGGGUAGGGUGAAAUCCAUUAAUCCCUGGGGGACCACCGGUAGCGAAGGCGUCUGACCAGACCAGGUCCGACGGUGAGGGACGAAGGCUAGGGUCGCGAACCGGAUUAGAUA